AUUGAACGCUGGCGGCAGGCCUAACACAUGCAAGUCGAGCGAGCGGCGGACGGGUGAGUAAUGUCUGGGGACUGCCCGAUAGAGGGGGAUAACUACUGGAAACGGUAGCUAAUACCGCAUACUAUCGGAUAACCCAUAUGGGAUUAGCUAGUAGGUGAGGUAAUGGCUCACCUAGGCGACGAUCCCUAGCUGGUCUGAGAGGAUGACCAGGCACACGUGGAAGGGGACAAGGCCCAGAACCCUACGGAGGGAGGAGUGGGGAAAAUUGCAAAAGGGGGCGAAGGCUGGUGGAGCCAUGCCGGGGGUAGGAAGAAGGGCCUAGGGUUGUAAAAUACUUUCAGUAGGGAGGCGUUACCGAGAGAAGAAGGACCGGGUAACUCCGGUGCAGCAGCCGCGGUAAUUC
This 403-nucleotide ribosomal RNA is filed under the name uncultured bacterium. RNAcentral describes it as "partial 16S ribosomal RNA". It matches the Rfam family "Bacterial small subunit ribosomal RNA", at positions 29 to 526 of the family's 1533-position model. The record is from RNAcentral.